CCUACGGGAGGCUGCAGUAGGGAAUCUUUCACAAUGGGCGAAAGCCUGAUGGAGCAACGCCGCGUGAAGGAAGAAGGCUUUCGGGUUGUAAACUGCUUUUAUAAGCGAGGAAUAUGAUGGUAAUUUAUGAGUAAGGAUCGGCUACCUACGUGCCAGCAGCCGCGGUCAUACGUAGGAUCCGAGAAUUAUCCGGAGUGACUGGGUGUAAAGAGUUGCGUAGGUGGCGAAAUAAAUAGCGAGUGGAAUCUGCAGGCUCAACCAUUAAGACUAUUAGUUAAACUGUUAAUCCUGAGAGCGUUAGAGGUAACUGGAAUUUCUAGUGUAGCGGUGAAAUCCGUAGAUAUUAGAAGGAACACCAAUAGCGUAGGCAGGUUACUGGGCCGGAUCUGACACUAAGGCGCGAAAGCGUAGGGAGCAAACGGGAUUAGAUACCCGGGUAGUC
This 442-nucleotide ribosomal RNA is filed under the name uncultured bacterium. Its description in RNAcentral is "partial 16S ribosomal RNA". It matches the Rfam family "Bacterial small subunit ribosomal RNA", at positions 338 to 795 of the family's 1533-position model. The record is from RNAcentral.